GAGAGAGAGAGAGAGAGAGAGAGAGAGAGAGAGAGAGAGAGAGAGAGACAGACAGAGAGAGCUCCCUGCAAUCUCUUGCAGCUACUGUGUUCAACUCAUGAGACAGAGAGAGAAAGAACAACUCUCAAUUUCCAUGGAAGAAAGAGUUGAGAGAGGAUUAGAGGGAGAGAGGAGAGAGAAAGAGAUUGAUUUAAAGGGACCCUGUUAAUUUAAUGUAAAUAUCAACGGCACCCAGUCUAUUUUUUCCGUUAAUUGUGGAGAGACUGAUAGUUGGUGGACAGAGGGAAAUGGAGGUGCAUGCAUGCC
This 306-nucleotide long non-coding RNA is filed under the name Amborella trichopoda. RNAcentral describes it as "long non-coding RNA (ATRI_LNC001532)". Lineage: Eukaryota; Viridiplantae; Streptophyta; Magnoliopsida; Amborellales; Amborellaceae. The record is from RNAcentral.